This 466-nucleotide ribosomal RNA is filed under the name Acinetobacter calcoaceticus. Its description in RNAcentral is "bacterial SSU rRNA". It matches the Rfam family "Bacterial small subunit ribosomal RNA", at positions 30 to 488 of the family's 1533-position model. The record is from RNAcentral. Lineage: Bacteria; Pseudomonadati; Pseudomonadota; Gammaproteobacteria; Moraxellales; Moraxellaceae.
AUUGAACGCUGGCGGCAGGCUUAACACAUGCAAGUCGAGCGGGGGAAGGUAGCUUGCUACCGGACCUAGCGGCGGACGGGUGAGUAAUGCUUAGGAAUCUGCCUAUUAGUGGGGGACAACAUCUCGAAAGGGAUGCUAAUACCGCAUACGUCCUACGGGAGAAAGCAGGGGAUCUUCGGACCUUGCGCUAAUAGAUGAGCCUAAGUCGGAUUAGCUAGUUGGUGGGGUAAAGGCCUACCAAGGCGACGAUCUGUAGCGGGUCUGAGAGGAUGAUCCGCCACACUGGGACUGAGACACGGCCCAGACUCCUACGGGAGGCAGCAGUGGGGAAUAUUGGACAAUGGGGGGAACCCUGAUCCAGCCAUGCCGCGUGUGUGAAGAAGGCCUUAUGGUUGUAAAGCACUUUAAGCGAGGAGGAGGCUACUUUAGUUAAUACCUAGAGAUAGUGGACGUUACUCGCAGAAUA